UUAGCUGAGAGGGUGGUGCAUGGCCGUCGUCAGUUCGUACUGUGAAGCAUCCUGUUAAGUCAGGCAACGAGCGAGACCCACGCCCACAGUUGCCAGCGUACUCUCUGGAGUGACGGGUACACUGGUGGGACCGCCGCUGACUAAGCGGAGGAAGGAAUGGGCAACGGUAGGUCAGUAUCGCCCCGAAUAGUCCCGGGCUACACGCGAGCUACAAUGGUUGGUACAAGUGGGUAUCCUAACCCGAAGGGACGGGAAUCUCCUAAAACCAAUCUUAGUUCGGAUUGAGGGCUGCAACUCGCCCUCAUGAAGCUGGAAUCCGUAGUAAUCGCGUUUCAACAGAACGCGGUGAAUACGUCCCUGCUCCUU
RNAcentral lists this ribosomal RNA (366 nucleotides) under uncultured Methanosaeta sp. Its description in RNAcentral is "bacterial SSU rRNA". It matches the Rfam family "Archaeal small subunit ribosomal RNA", at positions 976 to 1338 of the family's 1478-position model. The record is from RNAcentral. Lineage: Archaea; Methanobacteriati; Methanobacteriota; Methanomicrobia; Methanotrichales; Methanotrichaceae.